UACGGAGGGUGCAAGCGUUACUCGGAAUUACUGGGCGUAAAGCGUGCGUAGGCGGUUUGCUAAGUCUGAUGUGAAAUCCCCGGGCUCAACCUGGGAAUGGCAUUGGAUACUGGCAGGCUAGAGUGCGGUAGAGGGAGGUGGAAUUCCCGGUGUAGCGGUGAAAUGCGUAGAGAUCGGGAGGAACAUCUGUGGCGAAGGCGGCCUCCUGGACCAGCACUGACGCUGAGGCGCGAAAGCUAGGGGAGCAAACGGG
This 253-nucleotide ribosomal RNA is filed under the name uncultured bacterium. RNAcentral describes it as "partial 16S ribosomal RNA". It matches the Rfam family "Bacterial small subunit ribosomal RNA", at positions 524 to 776 of the family's 1533-position model. The record is from RNAcentral.